RNAcentral lists this ribosomal RNA (253 nucleotides) under uncultured bacterium. RNAcentral's name for it is "partial 16S ribosomal RNA". It matches the Rfam family "Bacterial small subunit ribosomal RNA", at positions 524 to 776 of the family's 1533-position model. The record is from RNAcentral.
UACGUAGGUGGCAAGCGUUGUCCGGAUUUACUGGGUGUAAAGGGCGUGUAGCCGGGCUGACAAGUCAGAUGUGAAAUCCCGUGGCUCAACCACGGAACUGCAUUUGAAACUGUCGGUCUUGAGUAUCGGAGAGGCAGGCGGAAUUCCUAGUGUAGCGGUGAAAUGCGUAGAUAUCACGCAGAACUCCGAUUGCGAAGGCAGCAUACCGGCGCCCUACUGACGCUGAGGCACGAAAGCGUGGGUAUCGAACAGG